GAAUAUAUGAGGAUCCUGGAGCUAUACUUAAACACAUCAAAUCAUUACCUUAAGUUCAUUUCUAUUUGAUUUUUGUCUUCAUAAUUUAUGUCAAGUUUCUGAGAUUUUGCUUUAUUUAGUGGCAGAUUGAAGUUCAAAUGUUUUUAUCAAUUACCUUUUACAAGCCUUUUUGGCUGGUAUGUUUGAGCUCGUUCCAGGUUCAUUUUUUGCGAUAACUGACACCGACGGUGCCCCUGUUUCGGGAGUCAGACUUUUUGAAGGGUUGGAAUGCCCCACCUAAGAUUGCAUGCAUGGGUGCAUGUGCGUGUGUGUUUGUGUGUUGGCAUAACUAAGUAGCUGUUGUGUAUAUGUUCAUAUUGUUUACCUUUUGUUCAGAUUUUUUUAAUUUCUUGAAAUGCGCUUAUGUUCAAUCUUUGAGGUUGUCUUGUGUACAAUUUUUUUGUUCAGAUUUUGUGUGCUAGGGGGAAUGACAUGCUGAAUUACUAACUAGUAGUAGAAAUUCUCUUCUAGCUAGUGGCAUGAUUUUAGUUUCUUCUAUGUCAUACUUUGUCACACCCCUCUGUUUUCUAAAACUUGUUUUUCAAUACUAAUGUAUUGUAUACAUUUAUGAAUACACACGGGCACUGACAUGGAUGACGAAGCAAGCGACCCUAAGAGCGACAAAAAUGCAAAAGGAAAAGAGCUAUGUCUUGAAGAUCCAGAGUUAGAAGAGAGAGGAUAUCAUGCAGAAAUCACUUACACGGAAGCGUCAGAGGAUUUCCUUUUUGAAGAAGUUGCUACACUAGUUUAUAACAUUUUUCUAUAUACAUUCAAUUUUUCUGAGUUUUAUCAAGUUGAUACAGAAAGUUAACUAGGUAACACAGCAAUUUUUUGUUAACACAUUACUUUUUUGGUAACCCUUGAAGAUCCAGUAUUCAAGUGUCUCCAUACUCUUUGCUGAAGUUUAUGAACUAGCCAAUACAUGAUUUUUGUUAACUAAGCUACUUAAUAUAGGGAAGUUAACCAGCCGUGUAUCACCAUGUCUAUCUAUUCUUUUCUUGAAACUAGGAAGAGGGCAUGUACAAGUUGCUAGUAAACUUAGUACUGAAAAACAUCCAAAGUUGCUCUGAUCAACUCCACGAACAAUGGAUAGCAUGGUUCAGAUGAGUAGAGGAGCAAACAGUUUUCUGUCUUUCUCUAUCGGUUGGGCCUGACUGUAACUGAUCUUUUUGUUCAAUAAAUUUUUUGGUUGUUCUGUAUUGUUUUUUGGGGCUUCUUUUUUUACAUUUACUACAGAGACUCAAGGGGGAGCAACCACCCGUGGUCAACAAGAGGAGGGGAACUCGCAAUUACUGUCACUCCACUUCGUCUCUCUCCAUUCCCCUCUCUCGAAUCCAAAGAACUCCAUAGAGGGAAAAGAGUCUCCGAGCUGCAGGAUUUCUUUGGAUGGAUAGAUUGGCGUGCUACUGCACUCCCAGCAAGAGAGGAUGAGCGACGCUGCUGGUGGAGUAAGUUAUCCCUAACUUGUUUGUUAUUUUUCGUUGGCGCUAUACCAUAGAUCUGAAGAGGGGGAUUGUUUAUGUGGGUUCCGAUUUGUUUGGAUCAAGUACUGAUUAGUAGUUUGAAGCAGAGAAUCGCCCCAGAGUUUAGCUUUUUUAUUUUGAUUUCAUUUGUGUUUGUGUUUCAAGAACGUUGUUCGAUUUUAUUGGUAUGUAGGUAUGCAGGCAUUCAUAUAAUGUAGAUUCAAUUUUUUUAUGGAUAGAUGUUGAAUACAGUUUUUUAGUGGCACUCUAAAUGUUUCUUUGUUUUGCUUUUGGUUUUUACACUGUAGAUUGUGUGAGGUGGGCAUGAUUACCGAACCCAUUUUUGUUACUAGCAGUAUGAUAUUUUACUGAACCCAUGUGACUCAGUAGAAUGUUGAAAUCAUUCUUAGGGAAAGAAGAGUACGCUUUUUACUGAACCCAUUUUACUAGCAGUGGCAUGUUGAUUGUUUGUCAUGCCCCCUUUUCAAGCAGUAUGUUGAAUAUUUUUUCAGUUUUUCACUAAACCCAUUUACUAGUUUGGUACUCUCCAGUAAAUCUUUUUUACAACUAGUAGUAGUACUAAAGUCCAGUAGCUCUAGGAGACUGACAUGAAGUUUCUCCUUGGACUGACUGGAAGUAGUACUACAGGUACUACUAAUUUUUAUGCUUGUAGGUACUUAGAGAAGUUCCUUAGGAUUUUAGCUGAGCAGGUCUGGUCUAGCAUUUGAGAAAAAGUACUACCCAGCACUGAUAAUCUUAUACUAUGACUUUGUGACACUUAGUAAAACAGGUGCAAUUUCUUUGUAGGAUAAAAAAAUAAACAAGCCAUGUUAAACCAUGGAGAUACAAGUUUUUAUUUUUUUUAGUCUUUGCUUUGCGCUAAUGUAAACAAGCACCCUACCUACACAUGUCCUGCACAGAGAUUAAACAAAGAGUGUGUUUUACCCCCUCUAUAUAGCAGGAGCAUGUGUUUAGGCUGCCUAAGUUAACCUUUUUGUUAGGAUAUAACCUCUGCUAGUCAUUCUUUUUUGACAGGUUGAUCUGUUGUUAUUUUCUGCUGAGUGUUAACACAGCAGGGAAAUUUGAUGGCACAUGCCCUUGGUAGUUUGUCACCACUGCUACAUUAGAUUAAUUAGGGGCAGCAAUAGUACUUUUUGUUGUGUAAAUAAAUGGGGUUUAGCAUCUGGUAAGCAGGGUCUUUGUUCACACAGUCAUAAAGUUGCAUGAAUAUUGAGAUAAAAAUAGCAAAAUAAAUUCUCUAGAUGUUUCGAAAUCGUUCAUUUUUUAUUAUGCUUUUCUGAAUCCCUUUUCUUACUUUUUCUGUAGUGUGUUGUUAGCUAGGUAGUCAAAGUCGGGAUUCGGACUCGGAUCGGUUUUCCUCAGACAGAGUCGAGUCGUAAGAUCGAGUCGUGGAAUCGAGGAUUCUACUAGAUUUACUCAAAUAAGAUAUUUUGUAUGCACACAAAAAAUUUAUAUGGGUUCUAUAGAGUUUUGACACUAAAUAUGGAGCAAAUAACAUACACAUCAAUGCUAGUUGUAUUCCACUUCUUUUUAUGGCUAACCUACCAUGUAGCUCGCAUGUAUGGAACAUAUAUGAGAGGGAAAUAUAUAGAACAUUUAAACCUUCAAUGCAUGAAAUUUACUAAUGUUCUUUUUAGAGUGCGUGAAUAGUUGAUCACUUGUCUAUCUGACCUACAAUGCCAAACCUUGAAGGGUCUUGCUCUCCUUCUCCAAUCAAUCUUGAAGCAUCCUCCUUUUCACGCCAAUUCCAUAUGUCGACAAGUCUGAUCCUCAAUUUCAAUCUAGGGUUUCUGAGAGAUGGAUCAAAGGUGUCUGCGGCUGAGCGUUUGCACUUGGGAGGAGAAUAAGGGUCCAUGAGAUAUAUGAAAAGGGGUUUGGAUGAUGGCAUGUUAUUUUUCUACAACUAAACAAACGGCUUAGAUAAGCUAGUAGAAUCGCAUGUAGUCCCUAGCAUAGUCGGGAUUGUAUAGUUUUGUACAGGAUUCUAUGAUUUGGAUCGUGACUCAACAUGGAUUCUACCUGAUCCGGAUUCAUAGUGGGAUUUGGAUCGACAUGCUUCCUUAGUGUCGUGAAGUCGUAGGAUUCUAGCAGUCGAAUCAGGAUUCUGACUACCUUGGUUGUUAGUGAGUUACCCAUUUCUUUAUUUUCUUCUUUUUAUGUGCACAGGAGAUGGUUUGUGGAGUCUGCUCGAGGGAAGCGGUUUCAGCAUGUUUGUAUGGCAGGACUUCAAGAACACAUAGGUAACUCAACAGUGUCUGUUUUAAUUGUUUUUGUAUCUUCCAUUUUCUUGAUCCUUUGUUUCUUUUAUUUAGUUUUUUGUCAUGAUACCACUCCUGACUUUGUUUUUUAUUUUUGUGUUCGACCCAAAUAGGUUUUGCCAUGCAAUUAAAGGAUCUGUUUCAACACAUGACUAGAGAAGAGGUGAUGUUUGUGGCAAACAAACGGAUGUACACUGUAAAGUGUCACACGGGUCGCACACAGAGCACAAUGUAUGGGAGAGGUUGGAGGACGUUUUAUGCAAACAACAAACCGGGGAAGGGUCAGCUGGUGUUGUCCUACUUGGAUGAGCCUCCCCUAGGGUAGUUGUUUUCGUGAUCCAGAUUGGCAACGGAUCUGGAGAUGAGCAGUCUAUGUAUGAGCAUGAUGCCAUAGAAGCUUCAGAUGAAGAUGAUGAAAUGGAGAAGCUUCCAGCGACGAUGAUGAAGGCAUCGUUCACACUAGGGGGCUUCAACUGAAUGAGGCUGAGGACUUGGAGCUCCAACGCCGGCUGACUCUCAAUGAUGGAUUCAUAGCUUUUCCUUUCAUUCACCGCCUCAUGAGGACAGAUGUCCAUUUGGGCAUGAUGGUAUGUAUCUCUUCUUCAUUCUUUCUUUUUUUGUAUGGAUAUGCUACAAGUAAGAAUACGAGUACCAAAUGUGAAUCUGAGCGGAAGGGAGGGGGUGUAACAUGAAUCUGAACUGAAUUUACAUUAGUGAAACUAUAAGCUUUUUUGUUGGUUUUUUAGUUUUGUAAUACUGAAGUGUAUCUUUCAGUUAUGGAUGUACAUGUUUUUCCUAUUCUAUUUUCUCCAUUUAUGUGUUUUCGUAUGCUCCAAAUAAAAAUUUGAAAAUGUUUACUUGUUUUGUUAGGUUUUCCUUUAUGUUGUUUUGAUAUGAUGCAAAUACCAAAGAAAGUCGAUAAUUGAUAAAACACUCAUAUAUGUUGCGUUGUUAUGUUGUUUUGAAUUGCAUGCCUACACACCCAGUUGCAAAUAUUCGUGAUCAAUAGUAGGCUUGAAACGGGCAUUUUUUUGUAACGGGGUGGUGGGAUUUGUAAGUGGGCGCUGAAAGAGGGGUGCGAGUUGCAUAUCCGAUACUAGACUUGCAACUGCAAGUGUCGCUCUAGUCCGCAACUGCAUGUCUCUUCCCUGACUGCAACCGCCUUUAGGUUUUUUUGUCGGAGAGGAGGGGGCAGUUGCAUGUCCAAUAGUAGUCUUGCAACUGCAAGCAUCACCGUCGACCGCAACUACAUGCCCACACAUACGACUGCAAAUGACAUAUUUUGUUUUUGUAAGGGGCAGCAGGCGAGGUGCGGGUUGCAUGUACAAUACUAGACUUGCAACUUCAAGUGUCGCCCUUGACCACAACUACAUGUCUCCUUGGCCUUGCAUUUUUUUGUUGGUGAGGGGGAGGGGCAGUUGCAUGUCCAAUAGUAGGCUUGCAACUGCAAGUGUUGCCCUCAACCGCAAGUGCAUGCCUACACACACGACUGCAACUGCAUGCCUACACACCCGACUGUAGAGGACAUUUGUUUUGUAAGUGGGUGGCGAAAGAGCAGGAAACGAAUUGCAUGUGUGAUAGUAGGCUUGAAAUUGCAAGUGUCGCCCUCGAUUUCAACUACAAGUCUCGCUCCCGACUGUAACGAGCCUUGCAUUUUUUGUUGGAGAGGGGGAGAGGGUAGUUGCAUGUCCAACAGCAGGCUUGCAACUACAAGUGUCGCCCUCGAUCGCAAUCACAUGCCCAGACAUUCGACUACAACUAAUAAUUUUGUUUUUGUAAGGGGAUGACGGGACAGGGGUGCGAGUUGCAUGUCCGAUACUAGACUUGGAACUCCAAGUGUCGCCCUUGACCGCAACUGCAUGUCUCCUCUCUGAGUGCAACUGGCCUUGCUUUUUUGUUAGAGGGGGGGCGCAGUUGCAUGUACAAUAGUAGGCUUGCAAUUGCAAGUGUCGCCCUCAACUGUAACGACAUGCCUACACACCCAAAGGCAACUGGACAUUUUUUGUUUUUGUAAGGGUGCGCUGGAAGAGGGUGUGAGUUGCAUGUUCGAUACUAGACUUGCAACUACAAGUGUCGCCCUCGACCAUGGCUGCAUGUCUCCUCUCCGACUACAACUUGCCUUUAGGCAUUUGUUGGAGGGGGCAGUUGCAUGUCCAACAAUAGGCUUGCAACUUUAAGCGUCGUUCUCGACUCCAAUUGCAUGCCCACAUACCCAGUUGCAACUGACAUUCUUUUGGUAAGGGGCGGCGAGAGAGGGGUGCGAGAUGCAUGUCUGAUACUAUACUUGCAACUAGAAGUGGUGCGCUUGACCGCAAAUGCAUGUCUCCUCCCUGCUGCAACUGGCCUUGCAUUUUUCGUCGGAGAGGGGAAGGGGCUAGUUGCAUGUCCAAUAGUAGGCUUGCAACUACAGGUGUCGCCCUCAAGUGCAAUUGCUUGCCUACACACAUGGCUACAACUGCAUGCCCACACACCCGGUUGCAACUGACAUUUGUUUUGUAAGUGGGGCGGCGGGAGAGCGGGGUGCGAGUUGCAUGUGUGAUAGUAGGCUUGCAAUUGCAAGUGUCGCCCUCGAUUGAAACUACAAGUCUCCCUCCUGACUGCAACUAGCCUUGCUUUUUUUGUCAGAGAGGCGGAGGGGGGUGUUGCAUGUACGGCAGUAGGCUUGCAACUUCAAGUGUCACCCUCGAUCGCAAUCGCAUGCCCACACAGACAAAUGCAACUAACAUUUUUUUGGUAGGGGGGAGGAGAGGGGUGCGAGCUACAUGUACAAUACUAGACUUGCAACUGCAAGUGUUGCCCUUGACCGCAACUGCAUGUCUCCUCCCUAACUUCAAGUGGCAUUGCGUUUUUUGUCGGAGAGGGGGAGGGGACAGUUGCAUGUCCAACAGUAGGCUUGCAAUUGCAAGGGUCGCCCUCAACCGCAACUGGUGCGUACACCCCAUCUGCAACUAACUUUUGUUUUUUGUAUGAGUGACGUGAAAGGGUGGGCCCAAUUGCAUGUCCAAUACUAGGGAUGCAACUACAAGUGUCGUCCCUGGCUGCAAUUGGCCUUGUGUACUUGCAAAUCCGAGGGGGGCAGUUGCAUGUCCAGUACUAGGCAUGCAACUGCGACUGUCACCCCCGACUGCAAUUGCAUAUCUUCCAACAUGGUUGCAACUAGUCUUUUGUUUUGUUGGAGGACGGGAGUUGCAUCUCCAAUACUAGGCUUGCAACUACAAGUGUCACCCUACAUGUCCGACAGUAGGCAGAGCAGGUAAGAUCUCCCCCUGCCUCCCCGCUCCUCUCCCCCACAGUGCAUCUCGCAUGCAUCAUAACAAACCCGCCGCCGUGUCUGUGAAUGCAAAUCGAGCAACUGAUCUCGCAAUUAACUUUGCGUUUUGUCGGAGGGCGGCAGGAUAGGAGUGAGAUGGGCCAGUUUUCAACACAUAUUUUUUCGCUUUUGUGGGGGAUUGGGGGCAAGUGCAAAGCGUUCAAGCACAAUUUUUUAUUUUGAAAGUGUGUCUGAUGAAAAUCCAUCCCAAACCUGAUGCAUGUAGACAUUAUUUUGGAUUUUCAAUGGCUCCAUGACAAUGUUUUAUCCCUCCUGUACAACCUAAUACUCGAGUGUCGUGACAACAAACAAACUAGGUCUGGUCAAGUCGAUAGACAAAGUAGUUUUUGACUUUUGCAUUUGAAUGGCUCCAUGAUGAUUUGUUCAGAUUUUGAUUUUCUUCAGAUUUUGGCUUGUGUGUGUGCUAUUUUUGUUUUUUAUGUGUAUUUCUAGAGUAGUGUUCAGAACCGUCAGUUAAAUUCAAUGAAUGGCACCACUCUCUCAUGAAUAUAUGAGGAUCCUGGAGCUAUACUUAAACACAUCAAAUCAUUACCUUAAGUUCAUUUCUAUUUGAUUUUUGUCUUCAGAAUUUAUGUCAAGUUUCUGAGAUUUUGCUUUAUUUAGUUGCAGAUUGAAGUUCAAAUGUUUUUAUCAGUUACCUUGUAAUCAAGCCUUUUUUUGGCUGGUAUGUUUGAGCUUGUUCCAGGUUCAUUUUUUUGCGAUAAAUGACACCGACAGUGCCCCUGUUUCGGGAGUCAAACUUUUUGAAGGGUUGGAAUGCCCCACCUAAGAUUGCGUGCGUGGGUGCCUGUGCAUGGGUGUUUGUGUGUUGGCAUAACUAAGUAGUUGUUGUGUAUAUGUUCAGAUU
RNAcentral lists this long non-coding RNA (7959 nucleotides) under Triticum aestivum (bread wheat). Its description in RNAcentral is "long non-coding RNA (TAES_LNC021287)". The record is from RNAcentral. Lineage: Eukaryota; Viridiplantae; Streptophyta; Magnoliopsida; Poales; Poaceae.